AACACACAGUUCAUGGGUUAUUGCAACUUUGCAGUUUGAAACCUGCUCGGUAACCGUAUAUGUGAAAAUAAACUGAAAUUCAGCAGUUUUUGCCUGGCUAACCCCCGUAACAAGCGUAUCUAGAAAUUCUCUGGUGAAGGUAAGCGGGAAAGGUAUCAGACCAAUAGCAACCCCCUUCAUUAUCAGGUAAAUAAUUGGGCUACCCUCCACAAGUACCAUAAAUACAUCAUCAACACGCAAUUAGCCUUCGUCCAAUUUUUUGAAAGUAAAACAAACUCCUACAAGGCUGUUCAUACUUUUUCAGUAAAUUUGAUGUCAUUUACUGACCAUGACCAAAAUCAUCAAAAUUGAAGGCCUGGCCCAUAAUGACUACUGCCAAUAUCUUCUGACGUAACUUGGUACACACCACAACAUUUUUCAGGCACCCGCCAAAUUUUACGACAUUUCCUCCACAGGAGGCGCUACAACUAGCACAUGUCAAUAUCUGAAGAAAUUCUGAAAUCUGGUAUACUUGCCUCAUUUGAUGAGGGUGUACAACUGACACGCUAGGGUAGGCAAUUCAAUUGUGGAGAAACCAGCAAGAGUAAGAUCCCAGCCCCUUCUGUCAGAACUCUUCAAUGAAUGCACAAUACCUACUGCCGGAGCACAAGUCCACAAGAGAGAGUUAGAGAAGGGCGCAGAGAACCGUUGCCAUCGCUAACUAUACACAAAUGAGCUACAUCACCAAAUUCGUAAAACUUCUUGUUCAAAGCCAAUAUACUAACACAAAAUUGAAAUACCCUCAAACGAUAUUUGCUCACAACUUCAAUGCAGACACCUGCGAAAAUACACAGAUAGAUUAGAUACAAGAUACGUGUACACAUAGCUACGGUCUACUAGCGUUAACGAUGGGGUAACACACAAGCUACAAAAGUAGCUAGCUACAUUGGCAGCACAGUUCAGGAAAAUAACUAAUUUCCCCCGAAACAAACAUUACCUCCAUUUCUAUUUUUUGGCAACUUCUAAAAAAAAUCUAAGCAAAAAAAAAAAAGAAGCCAGACAAAUGAUAUUUAUGUUCAAAUAUGACCAUUUACGGAGUAUCUUUUUUUUUUUGCCUUGCAUAUUAGCAUAAACGCAAUUAAAUUGGCUUGCGCCUGUCCUGGAAUAUUUACAUAAACACGUUUUAAUUGGCUGGCGCCUGUGCUGCCGCUUGAAAAGUUGAACUCUCCCCAACUUUCUACCGCAAUCAACGCAAGAAAACCAGCAAACCACAAUUCAGUUCGGCAACGCAUGACAUCACCCCAUUCAAAGGAAUGGGAAGAGUCUCCGUUGAAGCUUCCAAUGCUAGUUAAUAGCUCAUCAUGCUAACUGCCACACCAUCAUCUACAAACCAUAAAGUGCCUGGCUUCCUAUCCCUGUGGUGGGUUUGGCUUCUGAACCCUUUUGUCCUCAUCUCCUCUGCUGCCCACAAGACUUUUGUGGUUUACCCUCGUAUUAUCUUGGGCUCAGUCUAAUUCUCUUUUUGGCAUGCUUUUCUUCAUGGGUCAUCUUCUGUUAACUUUGUCAUGUAACUUGUUGUUGGGAAAGGAGGGAUGGGCAGUUUUGCUGGUGGUUGUUUAUCCGCCAAUGCGUUUGUGCUUGAAGCCACUCACAGAAGAUAUUGAGCUUCAGGAGUGAGGGUAUGUGGGGGAAGGGAGAAU
Clupea harengus (Atlantic herring) is the source of this 1679-nucleotide long non-coding RNA. The record is from Ensembl. NCBI's taxonomy places the organism in Eukaryota, Metazoa, Chordata, Actinopteri, Clupeiformes, Clupeidae.